GCUGGGUGUGGUGGUGCACACCUGUAAUCCCAGCUACUUGGGAGGCUGAGGCACAAGAAUCACUUGAACCCAGGAGGUGGAGGUUGCAGUGAGCCAAGAUUGCGCCACUGCACUCCAGCCUGAGUGACAGAGCGAGACUCUGUCUCAA
RNAcentral lists this non-coding RNA (148 nucleotides) under Nomascus leucogenys (northern white-cheeked gibbon). The record is from Rfam by way of RNAcentral. Lineage: Eukaryota; Metazoa; Chordata; Mammalia; Primates; Hylobatidae.